Molecule: ribosomal RNA, 618 nt
Filed under: halophilic archaeon
Lineage: Archaea; Methanobacteriati; Methanobacteriota; Halobacteria; Halobacteriales
Description: bacterial SSU rRNA
Rfam family: Archaeal small subunit ribosomal RNA
Source: RNAcentral
GUGGUCAAACUACCCUAUAGACUGGAAUAACCUCGGGAAACUGAGGACAAUACCGGAUAACGCCCCCACGUUUGAACACGGGGGGCCGGAAACGCUCCGGCGCUAUAGGAUGUGGCUGCGGCCGAUUAGGUAGACGGUGGGGUAACGGCCCACCGUGCCGAUAAUCGGUACGGGUUGUGAGAGCAAGAGCCCGGAGAUGGAUUCUGAGACAAGAAUCCAGGCCCUACGGGGCGCAGCAGGCGCGAAAACUUUACACUGCACGACAGUGCGAUAAGGGAACUCCAAGUGCGAGGGCAUAUAGUCCUCGCUUUUGUGUAUCGUAAGGUGGUACACGAAUAAGAGCUGGGCAAGACCGGUGCCAGCCGCCGCGGUAAUACCGGCAGCUCAAGUGAUGGCCAAUAUUAUUGGGCCUAAAGCGUCCGUAGCCGGCCGAACAGGUCCGUCGGGAAAUCUGCUCGCUCAACGAGCAGGCGUCCGACGGAAACCAGUCGGCUUGGGACCGGAAGACCCGAGGGGUACGUCUGGGGUAGGAGUGAAAUCCUGUAAUCCUAGACGGACCGCCGGUGGCGAAAGCGCCUCGGGAAGACGGAUCCGACGGUGAGGGACGAAAGCUAGGGU